CCUACGGGAGGCAGCAGUGAGGAAUAUUGGUCAAUGGGCGGAAGCCUGAACCAGCCAAGCAGCGUGCGGGAUGAAGCCUCUACGGGCCGUAAACUGCUUCUGCACGGGGAUAACACCCUUCACGUGUGGCGGUCUCCAGGUACCGUGCGAAUAAGGGCCGGCUAAUUCGGGGCGAGCAGCCGCGGUAAUACGGAGGGCCCGAGUGUUACCCGGUUUCUUUGGGCUAAAGGGGCGCGUAGGGGGGCGCUCAAGUGAGCGGUAAAAGCGCGCGGCUAAACCGCGCACCGCAGUGGAAACUGGACGGCUUGAGUUCACAACAGGCAGGCGGAAUUCGUGGUGUAGCGGUGAAAUGCGUAGAUAUCACGAGGAACCCCGGUUGCGAAGACAGCCUGCCGGGGUGCGACUGACGCUGAGGCUCGAAGGUGCGGGUAUCAAACAGGAUUAGAUACCCGAGUAGUC
RNAcentral lists this ribosomal RNA (459 nucleotides) under uncultured bacterium. Its description in RNAcentral is "partial 16S ribosomal RNA". It matches the Rfam family "Bacterial small subunit ribosomal RNA", at positions 338 to 795 of the family's 1533-position model. The record is from RNAcentral.